This 65-nucleotide small nucleolar RNA is filed under the name Eutrema salsugineum. RNAcentral describes it as "Plant small nucleolar RNA R71". It matches the Rfam family "Plant small nucleolar RNA R71". Rfam says of the family: R71 is a member of the C/D box family of snoRNAs containing the C (UGAUGA) and D (CUGA) box motifs. Multiple nearly identical copies of this snoRNA have been identified in Arabidopsis, and it is thought to function as a 2'-O-ribose methylation guide for 18S ribosomal RNA. Lineage: Eukaryota; Viridiplantae; Streptophyta; Magnoliopsida; Brassicales; Brassicaceae. The record is from Rfam by way of RNAcentral.
AAUACAUGAUGAGGGCAAUCACGUUCAUACUCCUUAAAACGUUCCCAAGCUUCAUUGAUGAGGAC